Molecule: long non-coding RNA, 203 nt
Filed under: Lathyrus oleraceus (garden pea)
Lineage: Eukaryota; Viridiplantae; Streptophyta; Magnoliopsida; Fabales; Fabaceae
Description: Pisum sativum (pea) long non-coding RNA (PSAT_LNC017971)
Source: RNAcentral
AGCUUUUCCCCAGUGGAUCUUUUUGGCCUUCUAUCCAGUAACCGGUAGUUGUAAGUCCUAUUUCUGUGGUUUUCUACCCAGUAACUGGUAGAUGUAAUCCCCUCUUUGUUGGUUAUCUCUAUCCAAUAUUCGGUAUUGAUAUUCCUUCAUUUUUGAGUAUACCACCCAGUAACCGGUGAUAUAUCUCUUGGAUGAUUGCUUUU